AAAACUUUUUGUAAAGACUAUUAAUUUCACCAUAAUUACCACAAGGAAUAAUCAAAAAGGAAUUAUGGUAUAAU
This 74-nucleotide non-coding RNA is filed under the name unclassified sequences. The record is from Rfam.